Molecule: non-coding RNA, 72 nt
Organism: Ameiurus melas (black bullhead)
Lineage: Eukaryota; Metazoa; Chordata; Actinopteri; Siluriformes; Ictaluridae
Source: the annotation of a GenBank genome assembly
GAGGAUGUAGCUCGGUGGUAGAGUGCAUGCUUUGCACGUAUAAGGUCUAGGGUUCAAUCCCCUGCAUCUCCA